Oryzias latipes (Japanese medaka) is the source of this 4859-nucleotide non-coding RNA. The record is from RefSeq and is a predicted model, not a curated record. Lineage: Eukaryota; Metazoa; Chordata; Actinopteri; Beloniformes; Adrianichthyidae.
UCCACUCACCAGCAUCCAAAUGUAGUCUGACAACUAUUGGAACACACCCACCAACAUGUAAAAAGGCAUAAAGUUGACAAAAUAAGAGUCCAGCUAUUCAAAAUUAUUUUAUUUUUUUGGCCAAAGAUCAGAGAGCUUACACUCUUUUCCUGAUUCUUUAAAGAACAGCAGAGUUUUAAUAAAAGUCAGAAUUUAUCCUCCAUAUCACCUCUUCUAUAUCGUCAAAUGAGAUUUGGGUGAAAGUCACAGUUUGAUUGACUUUUUGUGGUCAACACAGAAACACUGAGGUGCAAUUUCUGUUGGCAGCCCCCAAUUAUGGAAUAAUAUUCCUCCAGAACUGUGCUUGAUGGACUCAGUUUGUGUCAACUAAAAACCUUUUUGGAUUAGAUUUAACAUUUAGUAGUUGGUGGCAUUUUAUUUUCUUCCACUCGUUUUGUUUUAGCUUUUUAUCUGCCUUUCGUGUAUUUUAUGUCCUUGUAAAUUUAUGCUGUUUUUUCUCAUUCCUUUUCUUCAUCUGAUCAAAUUUGAGUUGUUGUCUUAGUAUCUAUUCUUAACGUAAAUCACUAAACGGUGAUGUCAAGCGUGUCAAUAGAGAUUAUUCAGGUUGUGAAACUCAAUCAGCACCAGAGAAGCAGGAAAAGUCUCUUUCUUGACAUCUGGAAACUUAUUAUUGAUUUGGAUUUUUGUUCAAUUAAAUCCAACAUAUCUGAGGAUGUUUAGUAUAUUUAUGAUUUUAUGUUUCAUUUUUUAAAUGCUGAUUUUGGUUAACAUUAACCCUGGAAAACCCAAGAGCAUUUUCCUUCUGAGCUCUUAAAGUUAAUUUGAUAUUUUUGUAGUUGUUCAUUCCUACACCAGCAAAUAAAUAAAUAAAAUAACAACUACGGCGGGUUCUCCAGGGUUAAAUCCUUCUGUUUUUACUGAUUUCUGACCAGCGGUGUUCAGGAUUUUCAAGUUUUCUUGUAAUUUAAUACAUUUCUUAACCAAUUUCUCGUUACCGCUGUAUUUAGUAUUUUUUAUGACCUUUUAACUCAAAGUUUAUAAUCUAUGAAUUGGGAGUUUUUAGCAUUUCGUUUGGAAAUCUUUUUAAGAGCUAACCGGCAUCAACCUGCAAACAGAGACGGUGACCCGGGGCGACCUCAGCCUGAAACCCCGACAGAGUCGCUGCAGAUCAAAGAUGUCGACAGAAAACUGUUGGAAGUGAAGCAAAGUCAGACGGAGAGGAUGGGCUGAACUCUGCCCGACGACGCCGUGACGACUGCAGCCAGAGCCAAACGGCAAACAUUCAGUACGCCGCAGACAAACAGCUCCCAUUCGCGUCGUCUAAAUAGGCCUCGCAGCUUAGGCGGGUAAACAGGAUUCACCGAGGAGCUUAAGUCUUUAAGAUGCUGCCGUGCUUUUCUUAGCUUCCUGACGCAGCUCUCUGCGCUCAAACUGCUCCCCGGGUCGCCUGCUUUUCAUUACAUUACAAUAAUCACCUGCCGGAAUAAAAACUCCAUCGCUGAACGCAGGACGGCCUUAUAUGAAGCUACUGUCCACUCUGCACCGCCGCUGCCGCUGGAACUCUCCUGUACUUUACCGUCCCGGUCACAUGCACCCAAACGGGGUUUGGAGGUGAACCAAACGGGUUUGUGGGUCGUCCGGGUCCGUGGAGGGUCGUGGAGAGGAGCGGCCGUAUGUUAAGGGCUCGUACGACCACCUCAAGAGACGCCAUGAAAGUGGAGCGUACCAUUGUCGUCCAUGUGGGACAGGAAGUAUCCGUAAAGAUAAAGGAAGUUAAAUGCUUACUGUAGUCAUCACUGCGGUAUGACAACUGGCCAAUUACUGACCGUCCACAGCGUGUGGAUCUGGGGUGUCAAACUCUAGGCCUUUAAAAAAAGAAAACCUGCCUCAUCUGCUGCUGAUUACCUGGAUCAGGUGUGUUUCGCCAAUUAGGAGCUUUAAUGGCAGGUUGGUUGGAAAGCAUGUAGGACCCGCAUGGCCUGGAUUUGGGGCCCCCUGCUCUUGAUAAUUUCCCUAUUUCAAUCUGGCUGCACGUAAUCAACACAUGAACAGCACUAACAGGCCGUCUGCAGGAUUAAAGAAAGGGUCAAAAGAAAGAGAAGAAAACUCUACGACACGCCAGCAUCUCCCCUUACGUCAUGUUUAGGUGUUCAGCCUGUCGCCUGCAGAAAAAAACAUUUCCUCUCUACUGAGCAGCCUACAACCCUGAUCUUUCGUACAGGUUUGAUCGUUCUCUACCUGCAAACAGCCCGUAUCCACCUGCAACUCAUUAAUAUGUCACGGUGCGCACAAAGAGGUUUUUAUAAAGAACUGCACAGAAAAGCUCCAGCAGAAGUCAAUGCUGGACAUUCAUCUCCUGCAGCAGUGGAAUAAGAAAAGGUGGAUCAGAAAAGUCGGUCAUUGUGAAGGAGAAUUCAAACGUGUCUGUGCGUGAUGGGACUUGUUGAAGGGUCGUGUGACUAAUGAAUGAUGGAUGUUUUUCCUGUGUCUUUAUCAGAGACAGUUCUGUUCCUGGACCGUUUAUGCUUCAUAUUAACCAAAUCAUCUGAAAAUGACAAGAAGUUUCAAAAGCUGCUGCUAUCCGACAUACCGUUACCGUGGUGAUGCAUCGGCUUUAAACAUGAAAUUAAUUUCAGAUUAUUUCUGUGACGCGUCUUUCUACUUCUUAGAUUAGAUUUCAGUACUUUCAUAAAAGCAUCAAACGGAGAAGAAAAGGUUGGUUUUGUCUCUUCCCGUUUACAUUUUGAUUUGUAAACUUUAAAAAACGGAAGCCUUGGUCCAGAACGUAUGAACUUUUGUUCUUUAGUUUCAUCUCAACUUCAGCUUCACUGUUUUUUUAUCCUGUUUCAACAAAAACCAAGAAUCCUGUUCUGGUUGUGCUUUACCUUCUGCUGCUUUAAAGGUAAUUCAAUUUUGACAUUUUCGAGUCUUUAACCUUCAUGAAAAGCUGGAUUUGAUGUUCCUGUAAAUGUAUUUCCCUUUUUUUUUUCCUGAGAAACCGGGAGAGCCUCUGGAUUUCUGCAUUUAAAGUGUUUCCGUUGGAAGCAGAAGCUGGACUCAGCUUGAAAAGUCGGUUUCUGAAGAAAACAUUGCUGACGGAUUGAAAUGUUUCCAAUGAAGUGUUCACGGGACAGAUGUAGUCAGAAUGUGAGGAGCAGCAUUCGUGUCAAACACGAAAACCCUGAGAGCGGACCCCCCCACCGACUGGAAAACAUCUGUUUCUGAGAAAAACAAAGUUUUGUGGCUCCGUUGCCUCCAGAUACUUUCAUCCAAGUGGAGAAGCAGCAGCACAGCAGAGUCAUACAGUUUGCAAAAUCUGCAUAAUCACCGAAAUUAAAAAACAGACUUUGUUCACAAAUGAGGAACAAAUGAGAACCUUAACGCUGCAGCAGGCAGACGGCGUUCUGAAAAUAACACGCCGGCCCAGAUAUGUCAGAUAAGGCUGACGGGAGGAGAAGAAGCAUUGGCGGGAAAACAAAGCCAGCAUUCAUCAAGUCGGAUUACACAAAGAAACAUCAACCUAUGAGAGGAAGACGAGCAGUUUAAAGCUGUUUUUCUCCUCUUCAUCAAAGCCUCCUGCUUCAUCCAGAAGCUAAAACGGAUGAAGAUUAUAGAAUCAAAGACAGAAGAGGCUCCAACUGUCCGUCUUUGGGGUUUUCAACCUCACAACGAGACUGAUUAGCCUCUGAUGUAGUGGCGUGCUGCUGCCAUCUACAGGAGGAAGAGGAGCAGUGCAGGGGCCGACGAAGAACGGAGGAACACCAAUGAUCUGAGCAAUGAUCCAAGUUUCACUGAUAAAUUCAGAUUUUUGCAUUUUCUAUGCUGAACUGAACAGGAAAUUCUGAGCUUUUAUUUUUUAAUCUGCAAAAUGAAAAAAAAAAUAAACAGUUGUGACUGACAAGCUUCUACAUAUCAGUCUGCAGUUUAGGUUUUUUUAAUCUUUUUCUACUCUUCACCUCUUUUCUGCUUUAGGAUUAAAUGAAUUCACAUAAUUAAAAUUAACAAGUAUUUAGAGUGAGGAAAUCAGUUUUCACCGCUGCUGUCCUAUGGAGGACUGAUGAUGCCAAAAUUUAAAUAAACUGUAAUCAGAGAUUCAAGAAAUGACCAAUUUAUAAACAAUUGUCUACUAUUUCUUAUUUUUCUCAAUUGCAUUUUUUCAUCCUGGUUUCUUAAAUUUAAUAGUUUUUUCCCACAAAUGUUUGCUGUUUACAUUCAGUAGAAGUAGGGAUGCACGAUAUGAGGAAAACUCGCGAUCUGUGAUGUCAGUGAUCAAUAUUGCGAUGAUGAUAUAACUUGCGAUACAAUGAACAAAUACCAAAACAACCAAAGACAUCGAUUCCAUUUCACUAAAACCGUUUUGUUUAAAUAAGAGUCAACAUAACAUAAAAACACUCCAAAUGAUCCUCGUCUACAUAAGAGGCCAACAUCUAACAGAAAAGCCUCCAUCUGAUUGGUCAAAUGCAUAAAGGGAUUUAUUUGAUUUGUUAAAUACUUUAAACUGCCUUCAGACUGUUUUGGAACAUUUAAGGUAACAAUCUAUCGCAGCCUGAUAUUGAUAAAUUUGCGAUUUAUGGUGCAGGCCUACUUUGAAGCAUUUUUAGACAUUUUUUUUUCGUCAUUUCCUUUAAUUUGAUGUUUCAGUUUUUCCAACUGUCAAUCACGUUUCUUUAUCAUCUUUUCAGUAAGCCGUCGGUCCUAUGGCCAUCCCAUAAUAAUCGUCUGUGUUUUGGUUAUUGUUACUUGAUUUAAAAGCAUUUUUUAGAGCCCAUGAGAGAUUUUAGCCAUAUUCAUUUUUUAAGGGCUUCUCCUGUUGUUGUCGUCAUUUUCUUAUUUUGUCUUUUCCCCCAAAACAAAAAAAA